ACUCUUUCCACAGGGGUUCAAAUCCUCUCGUCAACU
Molecule: transfer RNA, 36 nt
Filed under: Espadarana prosoblepon (emerald glass frog)
Lineage: Eukaryota; Metazoa; Chordata; Amphibia; Anura; Centrolenidae
Description: partial tRNA-Leu
Source: RNAcentral